AGAUGUUCCAGAGACCAGAAAAUGCCAGAGGGGUGUUUGUAAUGAAGCUGCCAAGACUCCAGGUCUUCUUGGUUGUGCCCCCUAAGGAGAAAAAGAUGCACGAGGAGCAACCAGCCCGUGGACCUGAAGGUCAAGGUGCCUGGAGAAGAGAAAAGAAGGGGAUAGGAGCCAGACCCCCGGCCAGGUCCGGAUGGCAUCUCCAGCAGGACAGCCCAGGAGUUCGGCACGGAAGCUAGCAGGAUGCGUGUUACCUGAGACCCCCAUGUGUGUGCAGGCCACAGCGAAGGAGAGAGAAUCGGGCGAGAUGGAAGCUGGAGAUUUCGAUUUUCUGGAGUCUAGGACAUGGGCCAAAGUGCAUUCUCCUCUAAGGGAGGCUCUCUUCAGUGUGACAGGAUGGACAGAAGGCAAGAUUGCCCUUUAAGUCAGGAACCCCCAAAUACAAUGAGUUGUUUGUUCACUUAUAUAAUUUGGUAGAUCUCAUACCUAUUCCUCAAUGUUUAUGGGGCAGGACUCCGGAACUGCGGCUGUUCGGUAGGAAAGACCAAAAGCAAACGGUGAACGAGAGAGAAGACACACAUGCAUGCACAAAAUAAAAUCCACGCCACCGCCGCCGCCAACCAGCACGCCACGAAACACCGGACCGACAGGCCGCCCUCACUCUGAAUUCACACGAGUGCCUGCUACAGACUCCACCGCUCUAGAACCCUGAGCCAGGGCCUGGAACCGAUCCCGCCGGAAUAGACUCAGCACUCAGACCUGAAGGAUCUGUUCUCGCCGGCUUCUUAAUUCACUCUGUGGCGAGGGGAGGGUUAGCAGCAAUCACGUGGUGCCCUUCCUGCUUCCCCCCUCCCCUCCGAAAGGACUCCAAGGGGCCCUCAGCAGAACCCUGCUGCUGCUCCCGGGUCACAUGUGCAAAGGGGGAGCCUGGCUGCAGAGGGCAACCGGCUCGCAGACGGGGCUUCCCGAACACAUGCUCCCACUGGGUCCGGCCCUUCAGCCAGAAACUGGAGCUUGUUGACUGAAAAUCUGUCGUGGCGACAGAUCAAGGCGCCUUUCCAUUUAGAGGAUGGGAAACAGGAGGGCAGAGAGACCUCUAGAGGUAGAUUUGGGGAGCACAUUUAGGGGAAUUCUGCACACCCCUUUCCCAGCUCUACCAAGCCCCUGAUUAAAUAAAUGUAGGCGCUCUGACA
Molecule: long non-coding RNA, 1190 nt
Organism: Prionailurus viverrinus (fishing cat)
Lineage: Eukaryota; Metazoa; Chordata; Mammalia; Carnivora; Felidae
Exons: 3
Source: RefSeq, a predicted model, not a curated record